AGCAUCCUUGACUACCUAACACUGUUGCUUCGGCGGGGAGCCCUCUCGGGGGCGAGCCGCCGGGGACUACUGAACUUCAUGCCUGAGAGUGAUGCAGUCUGAGUCUGAAUAUAAAAUCAGUCAAAACUUUCAACAAUGGAUCUCUUGGUUCCGGCAUCGAUGAAGAACGCAGCGAACUGCGAUAAGUAAUGUGAAUUGCAGAAUUCAGUGAAUCAUCGAGUCUUUGAACGCACAUUGCGCCCCCUGGCAUUCCGGGGGGCAUGCCUGUCCGAGCGUCAUUGCUGCCCAUCAAGCCCGGCUUGUGUGUUGGGUCGUCGUCCCCCCCGGGGGACGGGCCCGAAAGGCAGCGGCGGCACCGUGUCCGGUCCUCGAGCGUAUGGGGCUUUGUCACCCGCUCGAUUAGGGCCGGCCGGGCGCCAGCCGACGUCUCCAACCAUUUUUUUCAGGUUGACCUCGGAUCA
This 461-nucleotide unclassified non-coding RNA is filed under the name Aspergillus creber. Its description in RNAcentral is "sequence contains ITS1, 5.8S rRNA gene, ITS2". The stretch from base 125 to 278 matches the Rfam family "5.8S ribosomal RNA". The record is from RNAcentral. Lineage: Eukaryota; Fungi; Ascomycota; Eurotiomycetes; Eurotiales; Aspergillaceae.